This 414-nucleotide ribosomal RNA is filed under the name uncultured microorganism. RNAcentral describes it as "bacterial SSU rRNA". It matches the Rfam family "Archaeal small subunit ribosomal RNA", at positions 330 to 745 of the family's 1478-position model. The record is from RNAcentral.
GCGCAGCAGGCGAGAAUCCUUCGCAAUGCGGGAAACCGCGACGAGGGGACUCCCAGUGCCUACGCUCAGCGUAGGCUGUUCCCGAGCCUAGAAAGCUCGGGGAGUAAGGGCUGGGUAAGACGGGUGCCAGCCGCCGCGGUAAUACCCGCAGCCCGAGUGGUGGCCACUAUUAUUGGGCCUAAAGCGUCCGUAGCCGGCCCGGUAAAUGCCUGGGUAAAUCGUGAGGCCUAACCUCACGAAUUCCGGGUAGACUGCCGGGCUAGGGACCGGAGGAGGGAGAGGGGUACUCCAGGGGUAGGGGUGAAAUCCUGUAAUCCCUGGAGGACCACCGGUGGCGAAGGCGCUCUCCUAGGACGGGUCCGACGGUGAGGGACGAAAGCCAGGGGAGCGAACCGGAUUAGAUACCCCUGUAGU